This 21-nucleotide small nuclear RNA is filed under the name Arabidopsis thaliana (thale cress). RNAcentral describes it as "snRNA_17942". Lineage: Eukaryota; Viridiplantae; Streptophyta; Magnoliopsida; Brassicales; Brassicaceae. The record is from RNAcentral.
GAGCUCGGACGCGAGUUCUAU